AGGGAAUAUUGGACAAUGGGUGAGAGCCUGAUCCAGCCAUGCCGCGUGCAGGAAGAAGGCGUUAUGCGUUGUAAACUGCUUUUGCCAGGGGAUAAAAAGAGCAUGCGUGCUUUAUUGAAGGUACCUGGUGAAUAAGCCACGGCUAACUACGUGCCAGCAGCCGCGGUAAUACGUAGGUGGCAAGCGUUGUCCGGAUUUAUUGGGUUUAAAGGGUGCGUAGGCGGCCCUGUAAGUCAGUGCUGAAAUAUCCCGGCUUAACCGGGAGGGUGGCAUUGAUACUGCAGGGCUUGAGUACAGAUGAAGUAGGCGGAAUUGACGGUGUAGCGGUGAAAUGCAUAGAUAUCGUCAAGAACACCGAUAGCGAAGGCAGCUUACUAAGCUGUAACUGACGCUGAGGCACGAAAGUGUGGGGAUCAAAC
This 419-nucleotide ribosomal RNA is filed under the name uncultured bacterium. RNAcentral describes it as "bacterial SSU rRNA". It matches the Rfam family "Bacterial small subunit ribosomal RNA", at positions 356 to 773 of the family's 1533-position model. The record is from RNAcentral.